GACGAACGCUGGCGGCGUGCUUAACACAUGCAAGUCGAACGGAAAGGCCCUGCUUUUGUGGGGUGCUCGAGUGGCGAACGGGUGAGUAACACGUGAGUAACCUGCCCUUGACUUUGGGAUAACUUCAGGAAACUGGGGCUAAUACCGGAUAGGAUCUCCUGCUGCAUGGUGGGGGUUGGAAAGUUUCGGCGGUUGGGGUUGGACUCGCGGCUUAUCAGCUUGUUGGUGGGGUAGUGGCUUACCAAGGCUUUGACCGGUAGCCGGCCUGGGAGGGGGACCGGCCACAUUGGGACUGAGAUACGGCACAGACUCCUACGGGAGGCAGCAGUGGGGAGUAUUGCACAAUGGGCGGAAGCCUGAUGCAGCAACGCCGCGUGCGGGAUGACGGCCUUCGGGUUGUGAACCGCAUCCGCCUGUGACGAAGCGUGAGUGACGGUAAUGGGUAAAGAAGCACCGGCUAACUACGUG
This 468-nucleotide ribosomal RNA is filed under the name uncultured bacterium. RNAcentral's name for it is "partial 16S ribosomal RNA". It matches the Rfam family "Bacterial small subunit ribosomal RNA", at positions 28 to 507 of the family's 1533-position model. The record is from RNAcentral.